GUCUUUUGAAAAUAUUUUAUGUUAAAAAUACAGGAAAAUAUUUCUUGUUCAAAGAAGAAAAAUAUACUGCAUGAUGCCACUGGUUUAGGUAUGUUCAGUAGAUGUCUGUGGCUCCAUAACCAGUCACUGGAGUGAUGACCCAAUUUGGCAGCUAAUGGUUCUUUUUCAACUUCUCAAUCAUUUAUCAAAGCCAGAAUCAUACUGUAAAGGUACAUGAAGAAACAGAGCAGAUGAAAGCCUAGCUUGAUCAUAGCUUCUUUCAUGUGUGAUUUCAGUUGACCUCGGUUAUGGAUCUCUGUGGGAUCAAAUACCCCCAUGUUUCCACUUGGCACCA
RNAcentral lists this long non-coding RNA (334 nucleotides) under Gallus gallus (chicken). The record is from RNAcentral. Lineage: Eukaryota; Metazoa; Chordata; Aves; Galliformes; Phasianidae.